UCACUUCAGUAAUUUCCUCGCUGUUCUUCUCGUCCUUUGCUGCUCAAGCUCGAUGCCUCCCCCCAAACUAGAUCUGCGACCCAAACCAGAUCUACUGCACUAAGCUCGCCACCGGUCCUCUUCCUUUAGCUCGAUGCUGCUGCUGCUCGUCGAAGACUUGCCAUCGUGUCGCCACCGUGUUCUGCUGAAGCUGGUCUCUGAUGCCAUUUCUGGCGUAAUUGAAGCUAGCAAUCUAAAGAUGGAGAUGUGAAAAAGCUGAUGUUAUGCUCCAGCUUGUCGGAUGAGAUAAGGGAAUUUGAAUUUAGUCCUAGCCUUCACAAAAAGGAUGUCUUUUGCAUCUUUGAGAAAAAAAUACAGGCUCAAAGUAAUAUGCCUAAUGUUAUAUAUUAUUUUGAAAAAAUUUAUCUCAACGGGACGUGAACAGAGAGAUAGAAUAUGAACGGAUACUUUGCAACUAAGUAAGAAUAGCGUUAGAUGUAUUUAUUUGUACCAUGUAAGUAUGAGAGUAUUGCAAAUGUUUUUAAUUUCUUAGGUUGUAAUCUACAUUAUAAUAUUAUGUAUAUUGUAGUAUUGCAAAUUAUUUAGUUGAACGUUUGUAUAUAGUGAAAUUGCUUGUGUAUUUA
Long non-coding RNA from Prosopis cineraria, 623 nucleotides. RefSeq lists it as uncharacterized. NCBI's taxonomy places the organism in Eukaryota, Viridiplantae, Streptophyta, Magnoliopsida, Fabales, Fabaceae. The record is from RefSeq and is a predicted model, not a curated record. The transcript has 3 exons.